CUGCAGAUGCAAGAAGAAGGCAUCCUUGCGCUUUCUGUCUGUCUGACUAUGGCAGCCCAGAUUGAAUGGAGGAAUACAGGG
RNAcentral lists this small nucleolar RNA (81 nucleotides) under Catagonus wagneri (Chacoan peccary). RNAcentral describes it as "Small nucleolar RNA SNORA31 (ENSCWAG00000016015.1)". It matches the Rfam family "Small nucleolar RNA SNORA31". From Rfam's summary of the family: ACA31 (SNORA31) belongs to the H/ACA class of snoRNAs which are thought to guide the sites of modification of uridines to pseudouridines. The record is from Rfam by way of RNAcentral. Lineage: Eukaryota; Metazoa; Chordata; Mammalia; Artiodactyla; Tayassuidae.